UUCUGAUCUCUCACUGAGCAGUCUUUCCUUUCACCCCAAAGUGUCCCCUUCUCAGAUCUUCCCCCACACACUGCAGGCAUUCCCCUCGCCGCCGUCCUUCUCUUUUUAGUUUUUCUUUAUGUUGAUCUUUUACUUCUUUUACCCGUUGCUGCUUUUUACUUUGCUAGCAGAGAUCCCCUCCUCAUCCCCGUUUUCUUUUUUCCAUCUUUUCCUUCGCGCUUUCGGCCUCGCCCCUUUCUCCAGGUCUUCAUUCACCCCUCUUUCCUGUAUUUGCUUCUUCCUUCCCAUUUCCACUUUCUUAAGCCCCAUCCCUAACAAUUCAAUCAAGACUGCCUGACAUCCCUCCUCCCUUUCUCAGGCACUUUUCAAAUCUCCAACCACCUUCCGCCCCCUCCUCCUUCACUCCUGUCCCCCUCUUUCUCUCCUUCCUUUUCCUGAACCCCCGCUCUUUCACUCCUCUCCCUACUUUCCGCUUCGUCUCCCCUCCCCCACUCCCUGCUUUACACCAGCCGGAGAUGAGCUCAUUGGAGUCAGGCCAAGCAGAGAAAAAGCCGGAAGACUCAGGGAGGGCUAGUUUGGGGUUUGGGGAAGUGCUAGGAAAGGCUGGGUCGGAAUUUUGGUUGCUUGUUCUAAAAGGGGGAUCCUGCCAGACGCCCUGUCUUAUAUGUUGGGGACUUCUCUUUGCAACGGCCAGGGAAGAAGAUCAGAAAGGUGAAGGACACCAUUGGAGUUACGGAACUCAGAAAAUUGUCUUUGGGAACAAUUCCACAGGCAUAAUUGCUCAACAGACUUCAGAUAUCAAGUUAUUGACCCAUCCCCAGACUUAGACAUGGAGUCUCUGCUUUUUUCAAGAACCAUUAUUCAUCAGUACUACCACUUUGACCAUGAUGCUCCCAAGCCAAACCUGGCCUGAAAAGGCAUGGUCCAACUUUAUCUGACUAGAACUUGCCAUAUUUUGCUGCUUUACAAGGAUGCUGCUUUACUUUCUGAUCACAUGAUCAGAAAGACUCCUGUCAUUGGGAAUUGAAUGGAGCCUAAUGAAUGGAAGUCACAAUGUGAUCUCUAAGUUUUGUUCUGAAUUAGACAUAUUCACUCUGUCUAAGGAGAAACCUGGCAGCAGUUCAAAGUGGGCAAAAAUGGAAAGGGAUGCUUUUGGGAGGAGUGAAUUUCCUCUUAAUGGAUGUCUCAAAGGUCAAGAUGGAUAAUUCUUUGUGGCAGUUACUAUAAGGGAUGCUUUGGAAAAGUCUGACUAGAUGAUCUCUGAAGGUCCAUAUUCCUUGGAAGGAUUUUAUCAUUUCAAUGUAAAGGCAUUCCAGUUUUUAUAAUCAUUGCUGGCCUGGUAUUGUGCUUUAAGACUUGUAAGGUAUUUUACAUGAUGUCUUAUUUAAUUCUCACAACCCCCUGGGAGGUAUGUGCUAUUACUAUUUCAGUUUUUUAGGUUGGGCUUUUCCAACCCCCAAAGUGAGAGGGUCCUAUUGCUAGUAAGUAUCUGAAAGAGGAUUUGAACUCAGGUCUUUUGAAAUCAAAUAACAAUCAUUUAUCCAUGAUAUCACUGAGCUGCCAGUUGAAUUGUAUUGCAUUAGUUGAAAAAAAAUGGUCUGUGGAAAGUGUUUCUUUUAGAAGCAUGCUUCUUAUGGUAACACUCUGGAUCAAUUCACUAGAGAAUUGAAUGUACAAGAAGACAUUAGAUUAAAAAAAUAGGAAAAUUAAAAAAGGAAAACAAGGAGUCUUUGGUGUCAUGUCAUCCCUUUUCACAUUUCAUGUUCAUAUUUAAAACUCACUCCAAGGGCCCAUAAAGCACUGAUCCCCAGCCCUAAUGAUUUCCUGCAGGUCCCCUGGAAAGCAUUAGAAAAAUGUUUCUCUGUAAUAGGCUAUUCGGGGAAGACAAAAUCAAUAGUUUUUAAGAAGACAUUUUGCAGAUGCAGUAUUUAUAUUGUCCAACUGCCCCUUGUUUCUUGUCCAUCUCCUCUGAAAAAUGGCCCCGUGGUAAUUGUCCAUUAUGUAAGGACAGAUAUUGGCAUGCACAGUCCAAGAUGUAUUCAAGGAAAGAAGUGGGGAUAGCAAUAAAUUUCUGAUGGAGGUCCA
This 2085-nucleotide long non-coding RNA is filed under the name Monodelphis domestica (gray short-tailed opossum). Its description in RNAcentral is "lncRNA (ENSMODG00000046882.1)". Lineage: Eukaryota; Metazoa; Chordata; Mammalia; Didelphimorphia; Didelphidae. The record is from RNAcentral.